GGAGGAAAAGAAACCAACAGGGAUUGCCCCAGUAACGGCGAGUGAAGCGGCAACAGCUCAAAUUUGAAAUCUGGCCCCCGGGGCCCGAGUUGUAAUUUGCAGAGGAUGCUUUUGGCGCGGUGCCUUCCGAGUUCCCUGGAACGGGACGCCACAGAGGGUGAGAGCCCCGUCUGGUCGGACACCAAGCCAGUGUAAAGCUCCUUCGACGAGUCGAGUAGUUUGGGAAUGCUGCUCUAAAUGGGAGGUAUAUGUCUUCUAAAGCUAAAUACCGGCCAGAGACCGAUAGCGCACAAGUAGAGUGAUCGAAAGAUGAAAAGCACUUUGAAAAGAGGGUUAAACAGUACGUGAAAUUGUUGAAAGGGAAGCGUUUGUGACCAGACUUGGGCCCGGCGAAUCAUCCAGCGUUCUCGCUGGUGCACUUCGCCGGGCUCAGGCCAGCAUCAGUUCGCCGCGGGGGACAAAAGCUUCGGGAACGUGGCUCCCUCGGGAGUGUUAUAGCCCGUUGCACAAUACCCUGGGGCGGACUGAGGUUCGCGCUCCGCAAGGAUGCUGGCGUAAUGGUCACCAGCGACCCGUCUUGAAACACGGACCAAGGAGUCGUCUUCGUAUGCGAGUGUUCGGGUGUCAAACCCCUACGCGUAAUGAAAGUGAACGCAGGUGAGAGCUUCGGCGCAUCAUCGACCGAUCCUGAUGUUCUCGGAUGGAUUUGAGUAAGAGCAUACGGGGCCGGACCCGAAAGAAGGUGAACUAUGCCUGUGUAGGGUGAAGCCAGAGGAAACUCUGGUGGAGGCUCGCAGCGGUUCUGACGUGCAAAUCGAUCGUCAAACAUGGGCAUGGGGGCGAAAGACUAAUCGAAC
RNAcentral lists this ribosomal RNA (857 nucleotides) under Tolypocladium globosum. RNAcentral's name for it is "partial large subunit ribosomal RNA". It matches the Rfam family "Eukaryotic large subunit ribosomal RNA", at positions 52 to 940 of the family's 3401-position model. The record is from RNAcentral. Lineage: Eukaryota; Fungi; Ascomycota; Sordariomycetes; Hypocreales; Ophiocordycipitaceae.